RNAcentral lists this ribosomal RNA (326 nucleotides) under uncultured eukaryote. RNAcentral's name for it is "partial 18S ribosomal RNA". It matches the Rfam family "Eukaryotic small subunit ribosomal RNA", at positions 1470 to 1796 of the family's 1831-position model. The record is from RNAcentral.
CCCUUAGAUGUUCCGGGCUGCACGCGCGCUACACUGAUGCACUCAACGAGUUUACGACCUUGCCCGAUAGGGUUGGGUAAUCUUUUUAAAAUGCAUCGUGAUGGGGAUAGAUUAUUGCAAUUAUUAAUCUUCAACGAGGAAUUCCUAGUAAGCGCGAGUCAUCAGCUCGUGCUGAUUACGUCCCUGCCCUUUGUACACACCGCCCGUCGCUCCUACCGAUUGAGUGCUCAGGUGAAUAAUUCGGACUGCAGCAAUGUUUGGAUCCCGAACGUUGCAGCGGAAAGUUUAGUGAACCUUAUCACUUAGAGGAAGGAGAAGUCGUAACA